UACGGGGGGGGCAAGCGUUGUUCGGAAUUACUGGGCGUAAAGGGCUCGUAGGUGGCCAACUAAGUCAGACGUGAAAUCCCUCGGCUUAACCGGGGGAACUGCGUCUGAUACUGGAUGGCUUGAGUUUGGGAGAGGGAUGCGGAAUUCCAGGUGUAGCGGUGAAAUGCGUAGAUAUCUGGAGGAAUACCGGUGGCGAAGGCGGCAUCCUGGACCGGCAUUGACGCUGAGGAGCGAAAGCCAGGGGAGCAAACGGGAUUCA
This 259-nucleotide ribosomal RNA is filed under the name uncultured bacterium. RNAcentral's name for it is "partial 16S ribosomal RNA". It matches the Rfam family "Bacterial small subunit ribosomal RNA", at positions 524 to 781 of the family's 1533-position model. The record is from RNAcentral.